AGAAAAAUCGCAUUAAUAUUGUUAAGUUUCUUUAAACAAGUUACGGUGUACAGUAUUUGUGUUCUUGACUAUGAUUUAACGUUCUUUUUUUAUAAAAACGACGAAUAUUGAUUUAUUUUGACAAUUGUUAAAUUACUUAACUACGUUGACUGCAGGUUGUUCAUAAUGGUCAAUUGUUUUGUACCAAAUUGUAACCAUUACAGCGAAACAAAAAUAUGUAAAUUUUUUAGAUUUCCUGUGAAUAAAUUGUUGAAAUUAAAAUGGACACAAAAUAUAAGGAGGUCUGACAGAUGUCCAAGUGUGAACUCCCGAGUUUGCAGCUGUCAUUUUAUUGAUGGACUUAAAGAAAAUAAUCCAACAAUAUUCAG
Diuraphis noxia (Russian wheat aphid) is the source of this 368-nucleotide long non-coding RNA. The record is from RefSeq and is a predicted model, not a curated record. NCBI's taxonomy places the organism in Eukaryota, Metazoa, Arthropoda, Insecta, Hemiptera, Aphididae.